This 328-nucleotide ribosomal RNA is filed under the name uncultured eukaryote. Its description in RNAcentral is "partial 18S ribosomal RNA". It matches the Rfam family "Eukaryotic small subunit ribosomal RNA", at positions 1470 to 1796 of the family's 1831-position model. The record is from RNAcentral.
CCCUUAGAUGUCCUGGGCCGCACGCGCGCUACACUGAUGCAUGCAACGAGUUUAUAACCUUGGCCUGAAAGGUCUGGGUAAUCUUUUGAACGUGCAUCGUGAUAGGGAUAGAUUAUUGCAAUUGUUAAUCUUGAACGAGGAAUUCCUAGUAAACGCGAGUCAUCAGCUCGCAUUGAUUACGUCCCUGCCCUUUGUACACACCGCCCGUCGCACCUACCGAUUGAAUGGUUCGGUGAAGAUCUCGGACUUCGAUAUUUAUUCUUUAUUGAGUUUAUAUUGUGGAAAGUUAUCUAAACCUCAUCAUUUAGAGGAAGGUGAAGUCAUAACA